This is a long non-coding RNA of Trachemys scripta elegans, 716 nucleotides long. RefSeq lists it as uncharacterized. The transcript has 3 exons. NCBI's taxonomy places the organism in Eukaryota, Metazoa, Chordata, Testudines, Emydidae. The record is from RefSeq and is a predicted model, not a curated record.
UGCCCCCGCGUGGGCCAGGUUCUAAGGAGGAGGGUAUAUAACGGGGGGCUUGGCCUGUGGGCUAUAAAGCCUGGAGCUAGGCCAAAUGGAUUACAGAGUGAGCUCCAGCUGAGGGGAAACCAGGGGAAACCGCAACAAAGGUACAGGAGCAGGCCUAGCUGUUCGGUACAGGGCCUUGGGACAGAACCUAGAAUCCAGGGUAGGACUGGUUCUCCCAUGGUCUCUAAGGAAGGGGAUGUACAGGGCCAUAGAAAGGGCUACCAAGGCCAGCAAGGGCAGGCCGAGCCAAAGUCAGGCUGAGGAAAAGCCCCCAAGGGACAGAGGAUCUUGUUUCAGUUAAAGACAUUUUUUGACUUUUCGUUUGGGAUCAGCGUGACCCAGGAAGGAGUGGGACUAAAAGAUGGUCGCCUGGUCGAAGGGCUGAGUUCCCAGCCAAAAACCUGCUGGCGGGCGUGCUAGCCCAAGAAAUCUGUGACCCCAGGCCUUGAAGGAAGGGGCACCUAUCGGCUCUGAGCAAGGCCUGCCCAGAGAACAUGGAUGACGAGCUCUCGAUCCUGCUAACAGCACCCCCCAGCACAGACAAACUCCAGCACAUCUUGGAGGGUGGGAAACCGAGACACAGUUGGGACCUGUCUACACUACAGGUCUGUCGUGCGUUUGUAAUCUGCUGACCCCCACAUGUUGUUCAGAGCCUAUGGACAACACAGCUCCUAAAG